RNAcentral lists this ribosomal RNA (510 nucleotides) under Lactococcus lactis. Its description in RNAcentral is "bacterial SSU rRNA". It matches the Rfam family "Bacterial small subunit ribosomal RNA", at positions 20 to 512 of the family's 1533-position model. The record is from RNAcentral. Lineage: Bacteria; Bacillati; Bacillota; Bacilli; Lactobacillales; Streptococcaceae.
UGGCUCAGGACGAACGCGGGCGGCGUGCCUAAUACAUGCAAGUUGAGCGCUGAAGGUUGGUACUUGUACCAACUGGAUGAGCAGCGAACGGGUGAGUAACGCGUGGGGAAUCUGCCUUUGAGCGGGGGACAACAUUUGGAAACGAAUGCUAAUACCGCAUAAAAACUUUAAACACAAGUUUUAAGUUUGAAAGAUGCAAUUGCAUCACUCAAAGAUGAUCCCGCGUUGUAUUAGCUAGUUGGUGAGGUAAAGGCUCACCAAGGCGAUGAUACAUAGCCGACCUGAGAGGGUGAUCGGCCACAUUGGGACUGAGACACGGCCCAAACUCCUACGGGAGGCAGCAGUAGGGAAUCUUCGGCAAUGGACGAAAGUCUGACCGAGCAACGCCGCGUGAGUGAAGAAGGUUUUCGGAUCGUAAAACUCUGUUGGUAGAGAAGAACGUUGGUGAGAGUGGAAAGCUCAUCAAGUGACGGUAACUACCCAGAAAGGGACGGCUAACUACGUGCCAGC